Molecule: transfer RNA, 68 nt
Filed under: Laevistrombus canarium
Lineage: Eukaryota; Metazoa; Mollusca; Gastropoda; Littorinimorpha; Strombidae
Description: tRNA-Val
Rfam family: tRNA
About the family: Transfer RNA (tRNA) molecules are approximately 80 nucleotides in length. Their secondary structure includes four short double-helical elements and three loops (D, anti-codon, and T loops).
Source: RNAcentral
AAAAAUAUAGCAUAACAAUAAUGCAUCUCAUUUACACUGAGAAUAUGUUGAAAUAUCAGCUAUUUUUA